This 1193-nucleotide long non-coding RNA is filed under the name Meleagris gallopavo (turkey). RNAcentral describes it as "lncRNA (ENSMGAG00000022808.1)". Lineage: Eukaryota; Metazoa; Chordata; Aves; Galliformes; Phasianidae. The record is from RNAcentral.
CUAAGCAGAAAAACAUGUUGGCCAGUCAGAAAACAAGGAACAUCUGAGAAAAAAGCUACUCAUCUAUCAAUGUGCCUGAGAUAAAAUACUAUGUGACACUGGUAUGAAUCUUUGUUAUACUUAUUCAUUUCAACAAUUCUUCAUUAUCUUAAAAUGUAAAUGAGUUUUCUUUAGGAAAAAGAUAAAGACACUUCCUUUUCUUUUUGUACCUCCUAUUAUAAAAUGUGCUUUUUAUGAGAUCUAAGGUGGUGAUACAUUUCUUAGGACUUUUAUGUUGAGAGUGUCCAAUGUGGAUUGUAAGGUCCUGGGGUCAGACUCAAAAUGUUGUAAAUUAUCCUUGAAGUCUGUGCUCUUAUCCUAAAAGUACAGACUAGGUGAGACCUACAAUGGUAGAGAACUGAUGUAACAUUUUCUUGACUCCACAUCCCCUACCUGCUUUUCCAUCUUAGACAUAUCCAAAAGAACUACUGUCCUAGUUUGAAACUCCUGUACAUUAAAUCUUUUUUUUCCCAAAACAUUCUUUAUUCUCUAUUUCAAGAGCUUGCAUUGGGACUUCAUGUUUUAAAUCCUUCUCUGCUGUGAUCCAUAUAACAAAGAAAAGCAGACUGACUACCAGCUCCUAUAGAGGAAAAUAGCUGAUUUUUGUUGUUGAAAAGCAUGUAUAUGAUCCUUCUCUACUUUGAACAGACCAAGUAGUGAAAGAGAAAUUCCUGAGAGGAAAAGGUCAGACGCUCCUUCUAUACACUAGGGACAAGUUCUCUUCUAUCAGCCUUUCUCAGCUGCCCACCUAUUCACUUAUUUUCAAAGCAAAAGGAGAAUUUUUCUGACUGAGGAAUAUGAGCCUUACUUACCCCACUGGAAAUUUUGCAAAGAUGUGCAGAGAAGACCCAAAAUUUCUGGAUAUAAAGGUAUCAUAUGAACUCCGGAUCACUGAAGUAUGCCUGUGUAUGAACUCAGAAUUCCCAGCAGGCAUCAGGAAGAGUUAUUUUACCAUUUGUUUUCCAUUAUAGCCACCUUCUGUUAACAUUUUUCUGAGAUGAGACCUUGUAUCUAAUGGUAUUUAUCCACAGCUCAGCCUAUGACUGACUUUCCUGGCACCACAUGUCUGUGUUUGUCCUAAAUCCAAGUUACUCCAGGAACUGUGUAACUAUCUAUGAUCAUUUCUUCCUCCACCAUGAAAAAAAAAAUUAAAA